RNAcentral lists this ribosomal RNA (380 nucleotides) under uncultured Pleosporales. RNAcentral describes it as "eukaryotic LSU rRNA". It matches the Rfam family "Eukaryotic large subunit ribosomal RNA", at positions 270 to 667 of the family's 3401-position model. The record is from RNAcentral. Lineage: Eukaryota; Fungi; Ascomycota; Dothideomycetes; Pleosporales.
UUGUUUGGGAAUGCAGCUCUAAAUGGGAGGUAAAUUUCUUCUAAAGCUAAAUACUGGCCAGAGACCGAUAGCGCACAAGUAGAGUGAUCGAAAGAUGAAAAGCACUUUGGAAAGAGAGUCAAACAGCACGUGAAAUUGUUGAAAGGGAAGCGCUUGCAGCCAGACUUGCCUGUAGUUGUUUAUCUAGACUUUUGUCUGGUGCACUCUUCUAUGGGCAGGCCAGCAUCAGUUUGGGCGAUUGGAUAAAGGUCUCUGUCACGUACCCUUCUUCGGAAGGGCCUUAUAGGGGAGACGACAUGCAACCAGCCUGAACUGAGGUCCGCGCAUCUGCUAGGAUGCUGGCGUAAUGGCUGUAAGCGGCCCGUCUUGAAACACGGACC